AACGAACGCUGGCGGCAUGCCUAACACAUGCAAGUCGAACGAGACCUUCGGGUCUAGUGGCGCACGGGUGCGUAACGCGUGGGAACCUGCCCUUAGGUUCGGAAUAACUCCCCGAAAGGGGUGCUAAUACCGGUUAAUGUCUUCGGACCAAAGAUUUAUCGCCUUUGGAGGGGCCCGCGUUGGUUUAGCUAGUUGUUAGGGUAAAAGCCUACCAAGGCGACGAUCCAUAGCUGGUAUGAGAGGAUGAUCAGCCACACUGGGACUGAGACACGGCCCAGACAACAAGGGGAGGAAGAAGGGGGGAAAAUAGGAAAAGGGGGGAAAGCGUGAUCAAGAAAGGCGGGGGGAGAGAGGAAGGCAUUAGGGUAGAAAAGGUGUUUUACCAGGGAAGAAAAUGACAGGAAGGGGAGAAAAAGCUCCGGCUAACUCCGUG
Molecule: ribosomal RNA, 433 nt
Filed under: uncultured bacterium
Lineage: Bacteria
Description: partial 16S ribosomal RNA
Rfam family: Bacterial small subunit ribosomal RNA
Source: RNAcentral